AUCCGGGUUGCGGACAGUGUCUGGUGGGUAGUUUGACUGGGGCGGUCUCCUCCUAAAGAGUAACGGAGGAGCACGAAGGUCAGCUAAUCCUGGUCGGACAUCAGGAGGUUAGUGCAAUGGCAUAAGCUGGCUUGACUGCGAGCGUGACGGCGCGAGCAGGUGCGAAAGCAGGUCAUAGUGAUCCGGUGGUUCUGAAUGGAAGGGCCAUCGCUCAACGGAUAAAAGGUACUCCGGGGAUAACAGGCUGAUACCGCCCAAGAGUUCAUAUCGACGGCGGUGUUUGGCACCUCGAUGUCGGCUCAUCACAUCCUGGGGCUGAAGUAGGUCCCAAGGGUAUGGCUGUUCGCCAUUUAAAGUGGUACGCGAGCUGGGUUUAGAACGUCGUGAGACAGUUCGGUCCCUAUCUGCCGUGGGCGCUGGAGAACUGAGGGGGGCUGCUCCUAGUACGAGAGGACCGGAGUGGACGCAUCACUGGUGUUCGGGUUGUCAUGCCAAUGGCACUGCCCGGUAGCUAAAUGCGGAAGAGAUAAGUGCUGAAAGCAUCUAAGCACGAAACUUGCCCCGAGAUGAGUUCUCCCUGACCCUUUAAGGGUCCUGAAGGAACGUUGAAGACGACGACGUUGAUAGGCCGGGUGUGUAAGCGCAGCGAUGCGUUGAGCUAACCGGUACUAAUGAACCGUGAGGCUUAACCUU
This 693-nucleotide ribosomal RNA is filed under the name Citrobacter sp. CK189. RNAcentral's name for it is "partial 23S ribosomal RNA". It matches the Rfam family "Bacterial large subunit ribosomal RNA", at positions 2238 to 2925 of the family's 2925-position model. The record is from RNAcentral. Lineage: Bacteria; Pseudomonadati; Pseudomonadota; Gammaproteobacteria; Enterobacterales; Enterobacteriaceae.